RNAcentral lists this ribosomal RNA (1402 nucleotides) under uncultured bacterium. Its description in RNAcentral is "16S ribosomal RNA". It matches the Rfam family "Bacterial small subunit ribosomal RNA". The record is from RNAcentral.
AGAGUUUGAUCCUGGCUCAGGAUGAACGCUAGCGGCAGGCUUAACACAUGCAAGUCGAGGGGCAGCGGGGAGGAAGCUUGCUUUCUCCGCCGGCGACCGGCGCACGGGUGAGUAACACGUAUGCAACCUGCCCCUGUCAGGGGGACAACCCGCCGAAAGGCGGGCUAAACCCGCGUACAUGCCACCGGGGCAUCCCGGAGGCAGGAAAGGCUUCGGCCGGACAGGGAUGGGCAUGCGGCGCAUUAGGCAGUAGGCGGGGUAACGGCCCACCUAACCGACGAUGCGUAGGGGUUCUGAGAGGAAGGUCCCCCACACUGGUACUGAGACACGGACCAGACUCCUACGGGAGGCAGCAGUGAGGAAUAUUGGUCAAUGGUCGGGAGACUGAACCAGCCAAGCCGCGUGAGGGAGGAAGGUACAGAGUAUCGUAAACCUCUUUUGUCAGGGAACAAAGGCGGGGACGUGUCCCCGGAUGAGUGUACCUGAAGAAAAAGCAUCGGCUAACUCCGUGCCAGCAGCCGCGGUAAUACGGAGGAUGCGAGCGUUAUCCGGAUUUAUUGGGUUUAAAGGGUGCGCAGGCGGUCUGUUAAGUCAGCGGUCAAAGCCCGGGGCUCAACCCCGGCCCGCCGUUGAAACUGGCAGUCUCGAGUUGGAGAGAAGUAUGCGGAAUGCGCGGUGUAGCGGUGAAAUGCAUAGAUAUCGCGCAGAACUCCGAUUGCGAAGGCAGCAUGCCGGCUCCACACUGACGCUGAGGCACGAAAGCGUGGGUAUCGAACAGGAUUAGAUACCCUGGUAGUCCACGCAGUAAACGAUGAAUGCUGGCUGUCCGGGGGGAUUGACCCCUGGGUGGCGAAGCGAAAGCGAUAAGCAUUCCACCUGGGGAGUACGCCGGCAACGGUGAAACUCAAAGGAAUUGACGGGGGCCCGCACAAGCGGAGGAACAUGUGGUUUAAUUCGAUGAUACGCGAGGAACCUUACCCGGGCUCAAACGGGGAGUGACUCAGGCAGAGACGCCUGUUUCCCACGGGACACUCCCCGAGGUGCUGCAUGGUUGUCGUCAGCUCGUGCCGUGAGGUGUCGGCUUAAGUGCCAUAACGAGCGCAACCCCCGCGUGCAGUUGCUAACAGAUAACGCUGAGGACUCUGCACGGACUGCCGGCGCAAGCCGCGAGGAAGGCGGGGAUGACGUCAAAUCAGCACGGCCCUUACGUCCGGGGCGACACACGUGUUACAAUGGGUGGUACAGCGGGAAGCCAGGCGGCGACGCCGAGCGGAACCCGAAAUCCACUCUCAGUUCGGAUCGGAGUCUGCAACCCGACUCCGUGAAGCUGGAUUCGCUAGUAAUCGCGCAUCAGCCAUGGCGCGGUGAAUACGUUCCCGGGCCUUGCACUCACCGCCCGUCA